UACAGAGGUCCCGAGCGUUGUUCGGAGUCACUGGGCGUAAAGGGUGCGUAGGUGGCUGGGAAAGGUUGAUGUGAAAGCUCAGGGCUUAACCCUGAAAUGGCAUUGAAUACUGCCUGGCUGGAGGUUUGGAGGGGGGACUGGAAUUCUUGGUGUAGCAGUGAAAUGCGUAGAUAUCAAGAGGAACACCAGUGGCGAAGGCGAGUCCCUGGACAACACCUGACACUGAGGCACGAAAGCCGGGGGAGCAAACAGG
This 253-nucleotide ribosomal RNA is filed under the name uncultured bacterium. RNAcentral's name for it is "partial 16S ribosomal RNA". It matches the Rfam family "Bacterial small subunit ribosomal RNA", at positions 524 to 776 of the family's 1533-position model. The record is from RNAcentral.